RNAcentral lists this ribosomal RNA (428 nucleotides) under Acidobacteriota bacterium. RNAcentral describes it as "Acidobacteria bacterium partial 16S ribosomal RNA". It matches the Rfam family "Bacterial small subunit ribosomal RNA", at positions 355 to 776 of the family's 1533-position model. The record is from RNAcentral. Lineage: Bacteria; Pseudomonadati; Acidobacteriota.
UGGGGAAUUUUGGACAAUGGGGGAAACCCUGAUCCAGCCAUCCCGCGUGUGCGAUGAAGGCCUUCGGGUUGUAAAGCACUUUUGGCAGGAAAGAAACGUCAUGGGUUAAUACCACGUGAAACUGACGGUACCUGCAGAAUAAGCACCGGCUAACUACGUGCCAGCAGCCGCGGUAAUACGUAGGGUGCAAGCGUUAAUCGGAAUUACUGGGCGUAAAGCGUGCGCAGGCGGUUCGGAAAGAAAGAUGUGAAAUCCCAGAGCUCAACUUUGGAACUGCAUUUUUAACUACCGGGCUAGAGUGUGUCAGAGGAGGUGGAAUUCCGCGUGUAGCAGUGAAAUGCGUAGAUAUGCGGAGGAACACCGAUGGCGAAGGCAGCCUCCUGGGAUAACACUGACGCUCAUGCACGAAAGCGUGGGGAGCAAACAGG